AUCCGGAUUUCAGAAAUUAUGUAAUAUAUUUUAUAUUCAUGAUUUUAAAGAAAAGGAGGAAUAAAAGUUUAUAUUUUAUUCCAAUUUGAUGAGUUCUAAAAUUAUUUAUUUAAUUACUUUCCGGGUCAGUGGGAUAUCGAAUAUAUUCUAUUUAUGUGAUUAUGUGAGUAAUAAAAAUUAUGUGCAAGUUAUGUGAAAUUAAUGUGAUUAAUUGUUAAAUACACUUUAUGUGUUUGUACCUUGUGUGAUUUUAGUAUUCAAUGUAUAUUUUAAAUUUGGGAAAUAUUAUUUUAAUAUUGGAAAAUAUUUCUGAGCCUAUGAUAUAUUAUCUAAAGUCGAUCGGGCUUCCAUACGAGAUCAAGGCUAGAAGUUUCGAUAAAUAUAGAAUUAUUUUCCUUAAAAAAAUAAAACAAUUUAAUUAUACAAUUAUUUUUAUUAGAAAAUAGAUUGUACUACAAUUGUACUACAUAGAUAGUACAAACCGAAAAAAAAAAUGAAAUGAAGUACAUGGGUGGAGAGUCGGGGAAAAGAACGAGAAGCUGAGAAAAGAGAUUGGGGAAAAAGGGGGUAAGCUAGGGUUUGUCAAUUGAUAGUGAGGAAAGGAGCAAUCGGAGGGUCUGGUGUGGCCGGAAGGAGGCGGCGGUUGCCUUGCCGUCAUUGAGGUCAUUUGCUCCGGCGUCAGUGAGGCAUGAAAGGUAGCAAUCGGAAGCGGCAGUGUUGAGUUUCACGAUGGGGAAUGGGUUCACGGCGAGGAAGUCGCGGCGAUGGCUGGGUCUGUGUAUAUAUAUGUGUGUAUGUACAUGUCUGUGGAUGGAGACGCUGUUAGCAGUGAUGAACCGACCUAGACGUGCGUAUCGAGGACGUUAAUAAGUAGUCGAAUUGCAAAUCAAGUCGAAUCUGGAAUGAUCUGAUAAGACGAAGCUAUGUCGUGGAUGGAAUCUUGUUAAAAGCAAAGCGAGAAUAAACAGUAUAGGAAAGGCUUUACUAGGUGAUAGGAAAAUAGGUUCUUUGAACAAGAAGGAAAGCGAAUAAGGCAAGUAACUUUCCUCUCUCUCUCUCUCUCUCAUGCAACUUAUUGAUGACUGAUGAUAAGUUCUGUCAACAUGAACUACCUUUUGAAUUAUGAAAACCUGAUUUCCUUUCUCAUUGAAUAUGAUGUCUCACUUUUGAAUACAAGCUCUUUCAUGAUGAUCAUGCUCUUGUAUCCGGUAUAUUGCUAUCUUGAAAUAUCUUUCACUUGAUCGAAUGAUGUUUUCUUUUCAUGUACUUGACCCCACAAGAAUAUGACACUUGUUUCGGUAAAUGAAACUAAGAAUGAUUUUAGACUUGCAAGUGAUUGCAAGUGUCCUAAUGAUUUGAAAGGUUGGUAAGUUUAAAAUAAAAGAUGU
Daucus carota subsp. sativus is the source of this 1388-nucleotide long non-coding RNA. RefSeq lists it as uncharacterized. The record is from RefSeq and is a predicted model, not a curated record. NCBI's taxonomy places the organism in Eukaryota, Viridiplantae, Streptophyta, Magnoliopsida, Apiales, Apiaceae. The transcript has 2 exons.